This 301-nucleotide ribosomal RNA is filed under the name uncultured bacterium. Its description in RNAcentral is "partial 16S ribosomal RNA". It matches the Rfam family "Bacterial small subunit ribosomal RNA", at positions 509 to 807 of the family's 1533-position model. The record is from RNAcentral.
CAGCAGCCGCGGUAAAACGUAGGCAGCAAGCGUUGUUCGGAGUUACUGGGCGUAAAGGGUGUGUAGGCGGUUGCCUAAGUUUGGUGUGAAAUCUCCCGGCUUAACUGGGAGGGUGCGCCGAAAACUGGGUCACUAGAGUACGGGAUGGGAAAGUGGAAUUCCUGGUGUAGCGGUGAAAUGCGUAGAUAUCAGGAGGAACACCGGUGGUGUAGACGGCUUUCUGGACCGUAACUGACGCUGAAACACGAAAGCGUGGGUAGCAAACAGGAUUAGAUACCCCCGUAGUCCCUGUCUCUUAUAC